RNAcentral lists this ribosomal RNA (274 nucleotides) under uncultured bacterium. RNAcentral describes it as "partial 16S ribosomal RNA". It matches the Rfam family "Bacterial small subunit ribosomal RNA", at positions 523 to 796 of the family's 1533-position model. The record is from RNAcentral.
AUACGUAGGAUCCGAGCGUUGUCCGGAUUUACUGGGCGUAAAGGGUGCGUAGGCGGCGUGGUAAGUCUCAUGUGAAAUCUCCCGGCUCAACUGGGAGGGGUCAUGGGAUACUGCCAUGCUCGAGGGCAGUAGAGGAGAGCGGAAUUCCGGGAGUAGCGGUGAUAUGCGUAGAUACCCGGAGGAACACCCGUGGCGAAAGCGGCUCUCUAGGCUGUACCUGACGCUAAGGCACGAAAGCGUGGGGAGCAAACCGGAUUAGAAACCCCAGUAGUCC